Molecule: long non-coding RNA, 3841 nt
Organism: Oncorhynchus keta (chum salmon)
Lineage: Eukaryota; Metazoa; Chordata; Actinopteri; Salmoniformes; Salmonidae
Exons: 2
Source: RefSeq, a predicted model, not a curated record
GCUCCAUGCAGCGUGGCUCCCCCAGGCUGGGCCUGUCUGUGCUGGAGGCUCAGAGAGGAGACUCUGAGGAGGCUGAGACUGUCAGCGCCAUGGCCUCUCUCUCUGUGGCCAACAAACAGAGCAGGUCGGAGGAGGAACCCAUGGAGGAGGAAGCACCAUUAUAGCGGGGGAAGCAUAAGGGCGUCGUACCGUGACUGUCGGCCUCUGCAGCUCGGAAGACUACCUUCUGGAGAGUCUCGACUGUCCCUUUCAUUUAGUCCCUCCGCGCCGUGCCUAUCACCUUGAUUGGCAGCUCCUCUGCCAAUGAGAGAGAGGGAUGGGCUUCAGAGUAGGGAGUCAAUGGGGAUACGAUAUGAAGGACGAAGUGACAAAGCGCUGCAGCCAGGCAGCUCAGCGUGGUCAGCUCACCGUGACUCUAAAGAGACGUUUGUUUCUGCCAGUCAGACUGAGGCAGCCCCAGAAGACACCCCAGCACCGAGGCAGUGGGUUCUCGGAGUGGAGGCGGAUAAUGGAAGUGUUACUCCUGAAGGGAAAGAUCUGCUGCUUUACAGAGCUCCCCCGUGGCCAAAUAUGGAGACAGAGGACAGGACAAGUCCGGCUGUCACACACAGCGUGGACAUUUAUUUUCUCUCCUGCUUUUGUCCCCCUAAAUGGAGGACAUGCUACUGAUGGAGAUGGUAGUUACUGAUGAGAGAUGGAGGACAACAAAGCCCCAAGGAGAAUUGUCGGGCUGUCAUUGGCUGAGGACAGUAGACUUGACUGUGGUUGGCUGUUGAGCAAGCGGCCUUUGCCGUUAUUAGAUGAUGAGGCUAUUGGAUCUUUGCCUUAUUGAUGCAGCUGGUAGUUCUGUGAUGGUCCACCAAUGAGAGAGUGCCUUUGUGAAGCUCUGAUGGAUUUCAGGAUUGUGUCAGAAAUGAAGAUUGCCUUAAAUGAUGAUCCUGACCAGGGGAGAGAGAGAGAAAUACAUUUUCCUGUUUGACAGAGGUCGGGAUGGUGGAAAAAAUGAUCUUUCAGCAUGUUUACCAGGAUUGUGAUGUAGACAGCGUUUGUCUCUCACAGCCUCUUUUAGAGGUCAUUAUACCUUUGGAUUGAUAUAUUUUUCUGUAAAAAUGCUUCAAAAAGGUAGUUGCAAGCAAACAUUUGAAACGUUCAACUAACAGUUGAUUCGUAAAGCACUGUUGAAGGUUAGCAUUUAGCCUUAUGUAGCUUCCCUUUAUCACAUAACCAAUCGCUAACGGAGAAAAAGCAUGUCUCACCAGAAAGACCUGUCGGUUGCAAGGUUAGAAAGUUAUCCAAAAAGAACUAGUCGAGCAAAAAAAAAGCCAAAGCACGAGUUUGCAUCCAGCUCUUUCGUACCACUAGUAACAGCAGGCAUACACAGUAUUACUACUGGCUUUUCAUACCAAGCACACUGUUCGAGAGCUAACGGAUCAAACAUGUAUGUCUCAACCUUUUUGUGAAAUAAUUAUUGAAUUCCAAUGUAUUGUUUGGCAACUACCUUAGUUAAUAGUUACUAUGAACAUCUUGUCAUGUAUAUUGAAUUGAACAUAUUGUGAAGCCAAGUGUUAAUUUGCCAUCUUUGAAACUAUCAUUUCCACAUCAAGCUCGUCAAUUGACUAAACCAUCAUCAACUUUUUCUUAAUCAACGAUCUCAAGUGGGUGACAAUUCUAUUUUUGGCAUGUAUGAAAAUCUCUAGUUUUGAACAUACUUUUUAUAUUUGUGUAUUUGUCCUUUUGCGUUGUUACUCUGUACAGUUGAUGUGCCACUCGCUCUUAGUGUCCUCAUCAUGCAUUGGGAUGGAGAUCAGCCUUUCUACCCUAUACCAUGAUUCCAGCAAUUGUCUAUUUACUUACAGAAUGAUCCAGUUUACAGAGAGGUUCUACAUGGAAAACCUAGAAAUAUAUUAUAUCCGUAGCCUACAUGAGAGCUAUGACGUUGUGAAAGAGAAUAGCUAUGGCAAAGAUGGUCUCACUCCAGUAAAUAACUCUAAAAACCUUAUGUGGGGGGUUGAGGUUGACUGCACUGUUUUAAACUGGCCCUGGUUGGAACAGCCCCUGCACUCAGCAGCACUGUAUGUGGUCUCUGUUCCACACAUCACUCUGAACACAAAAAGGGGAACACACUGAUUUGUUUUUCUACUGUAUUGUUCCUGGCUGCACUGUAGCUAGACUAGACUAGCAUGGGGCAUUUUAAAGACACUUUGCUUUCGCGUUUGACUCCAUUGGGACCAACCAAAAUGACAUACCGAGGUUACUUUUGACACCAUAACACACUGUUGUUGAUUUGACAGCAUGGUUACUGCUGUCCUGCCAUGGUUACUGCUGUGUUGCCAUGGUUACUCUACAUUAGCAUACCUCGACUUCAGAAAAUGUUGUGACAUCACUUCUUCCUGUCGUAGCUACAUUAGUCGAGUUGUCAAGAAACCGGAGUCAUGAUAUUAGUGGGUUGGCAUGGUCUCAUUAUAGUUCAAACUAUUCUCAUCCCUAGUAAAUAACUCCUUUUAGUUUUCAAUAAUGUUCCUACACUAAUUUUGGUAGUAUCAUGUUUCCUUUUCAUGAUUUAGUAAACAUUCUAUGUUUUGCUUUGUGUUUGCUCUCAGAUUCACCAUUCCUAUGAAUAGUUUCAGAGCCCCAGGGUUUGGUAUGUUCCUUUAAAAAACAUUUCUUUAACGGCCUCUAAUUCUCUGCAUGGUUUGUCUGUCCGCAUGCCUGUCUGGCUGUACGUCUGUGUAACACUGGAUUUGCACAGUAGAAGAAAACUAGAGGACUAAAUCCUAUCCCAGAAAACCCAGUGUGAAUGUCUCUUCUUCUUUGGUGUACUAAGGAUACAAAGGACUUGUCAAAAUGAAUUCCACAUUAGAUUUUUUAAAAAUAAUUAUAUGCUCAGUUUUUGUAGGGAAAUUACCAAGCACUUAAACAAGAUAAUGGACAAUAGACUUGACUGUGUUUAGAGUAAGAGGAAAUAUGGAUUAGCUAGGCUAAUCUCUGAGUGUAUUUAUGCUGGCUUCACAUGCUCAUGGGAAAUGGGGAAGUGGAACAAUUAGGUCCGACAUGAUUGUGUUUAAGUGCUUUUGAAGUCAGAAAAAUUCUUCAACCAAUAGGAUUUUAGCUAGCUUAUCAAGGUUGCUAAUAAUAAAGUUAGCUAAUAAUAAAGUUAGCUAUCUUAUCAAGGUUGCUAAUAAUAAAGUUAGCUAUCUUAUCAAGGUUGCUAAUAAUAAAGUUAGCGAGUUUAUCAAGGUUGCUAAUAAUAAAGUUAGCUAGCUUAUCAAGGUUGCUAAUAAUAAAGUUAGCUAGAUUGCUGAACAUUGACAAUAUGGUGAGGUCGUAGUUGUCAAACUGAUUUGUUAUUUUUUGGUUGAAAAGGUCAAAGGUCAGUGGUGAAACAUAACUCACCAACCUGGGCAACAACAUUUUCAGAGUUUCCCACUUGAAAUUCCGACUUGGAGGUUCGCUCAAGUGAAACUUCUCAGUUGGAAAUAGGAACUUCCGAUACCACAUGAACGUGGCAUUACAUCCAUCUAGACUGCUUGUCUCUCCCCUAAGAGUGUUUCUAGGGUGUUGGGGACAGACACAAAAAGUAGACAAUGGCUAAAACAUCCUUUAAAACACUCCAGAUGUGGUUGAUUGGGAAGCGAAUUUUCUGCAGACUCUUAUCCACUUAAGCCAGUUGUAUUUAAAACCACUGUGGUUAAAAAGAGCUAUUCUCGGUUUACAUAUGUAAAUGUUAGUUAUUUUUGUUUUCUUUCCAUUCCAUUGUAACAAAUGAUAUCUUGUUGGGACCGAUAUGCUUUUGACAUUUUGUCUCAGACAUAAACUCUAAAAUAUAUUUCUGAAAAAUGAA